GACCUUUCUGAUAUCCCAGGACGACAUCUUUUAAAACCUUGCUAGCAAGCUAGCUGUAACAUUUUUGUUCUGAUGUUUCAAAUUCACUACGAAACUUCGCUAUCGUCAGCAAGCGGAACUUACUCGUCAGCCACGCCCCCCACCCCACAUGAUGGAUUAUGUCACAUCCUCUGCCUUCAUGGAAAAGUAUCAGUUACUGGAAUUUGAUUUAUUUCAUAUAUAUAUUAAUUUUUUUUAUGCGCAUUUAGUAUUUUCUUGUAUAUACCGGUGUUUUUUUUGUUUUUUGUUAGACAUGUUUGAUGUAGAAGUUGUAAAAGUUGUUAAUUUUGUAUUACAUUUGAUUUUUUAUGUAACGUA
Long non-coding RNA from Oncorhynchus nerka (sockeye salmon), 357 nucleotides. RefSeq lists it as uncharacterized. The record is from RefSeq and is a predicted model, not a curated record. The transcript is spliced from 2 exons. NCBI's taxonomy places the organism in Eukaryota, Metazoa, Chordata, Actinopteri, Salmoniformes, Salmonidae.